GACGAACGCUGGCGGCGUGCCUAACACAUGCAAGUCGAACGCGAAAGCCCCUUCGGGGGUAAGUAGAGUGGCGUCCGGGUGAGUAACACGUAGGUAAUCUACCUUCGGGUGGGGAAUAACCAGUCGAAAGAUUGGCUAAUACCGCAUAAUGCAGCGGCACCUAAUGGUGAUUAGUUGUUAAAGCGGGGGAUCGUAAGACCUCGCGCCUGAAGAGGAGCCUGCGGCAGAUUAGCUAGUUGGUGAGGUAAUGGCUCACCAAGGCUUCGAUCUGUAGCUGGUCUGAGAGGACGGCCAGCCACACUGGCACUGACACACGGGCCAGACUCCUACGGGAGGCAGCAGCGGGGAAUUUUGGGCAAUGGGCGAAAGCCUGACCCAGCAACGCCGCGUGAGGGAGGAAAUCCUUCGGGAUGUAAACCUCACAAGCAAGGGAAGAGAGCUCAGGGGCCGAAUAAGCUUUGAGUCCGACGGUACCUUGCGUAAGCCACGGCUAACUACGUGCCAGCCGCCGC
This 512-nucleotide ribosomal RNA is filed under the name uncultured bacterium. Its description in RNAcentral is "bacterial SSU rRNA". It matches the Rfam family "Bacterial small subunit ribosomal RNA", at positions 28 to 518 of the family's 1533-position model. The record is from RNAcentral.